UACGAACCGUGCGAACGUUGUUCGGAAUCACUGGGCUUAAAGGGCGCGUAGGCGGCCCGCCGCGUCCGGGGUGAAAUCCUCCCGCUCAACGGGAGAACGGCCUCGGAUACGGGCGGGCUGGAGGCGGGUAGGGGCAGGCGGAACUGUGGGUGGAGCGGUGAAAUGCGUUGAGAUCCACAGGAACUCCGGUGGCGAAGGCGGCCUGCUGGACCCGAUCUGACGCUGAGGCGCGAAAGCCAGGGGAGCGAACGGG
RNAcentral lists this ribosomal RNA (253 nucleotides) under uncultured bacterium. RNAcentral's name for it is "partial 16S ribosomal RNA". It matches the Rfam family "Bacterial small subunit ribosomal RNA", at positions 524 to 776 of the family's 1533-position model. The record is from RNAcentral.